AGCUAGGGCUCCAGAAAGAACCUUACUACCUACCUGGCUUCCCUACGUGCUUGCCGUGUGUUCCUUGACAGAUGACUCGACUGCCCUCUGCCUCUGCCUCCUCACCAGUAACGUGGCGCAGAUAGUAUUUCCCGUCUCAGAACAGGCUGUUAUAACAAACACUGAGGAGUGGGCGGUUUAAGCAGCGUUUGUCUAUUUCUCACAGUUUUGGAGGCUGGAAGCCUGAGAUCAGCGAAGAGCCUCUCCCGGUUUGCAGGCAGGCUGCCUCUGGCUGUGUCCUCAGGCGGCAGGGAGCAGAGCGAGAAGCCAGCUGGUGGAAGGGCUUGACCAGUUUUUACUCCCUUGAUGGUUCCACGGUAUAUAUCCUUUCGCAUUUUUCUGUUUUCCUACAUCUAAGUUCUAUCUUUCUCAGUAGCACAUAGUUUUUCUUUUCUAACAGUCUGACAAUGUUUUGCUUUAACUGGAAUAUUUUACCUAUUUUCAUAUAACGUGAUUACAGAUAAAUGUAGGUUUAUAGUUACCUGAAAUUAUUUUCUGUUUGUCCUGUCUGUUCUUUGUUCCCUUUUUCUCCUUUUUCUAGCUCUUUGUACUAUUUAUUGAGUACUUUUCAUUCCAUUUUCUGUGAUCAGGGUUUUAGUUACAAUAUGCAAACUUAAAUUUAUUAGAGUCAAAUCUCAACAUAGUAUAUUUACAACUUUGGGAUUUAAAAUAGUCAAUAUUUAUUCCUCUAGCCUUUUGUGCUGUUGUUUUCAUGUUUUCUAAUUCCUCAUAUAUUUUCAUUACCACAGACAUAAUUUUUUAUCAGGCAGUGUAACACAGAUUUACUCACAUUUAUCCUCCCCAGUGCUUUUCAGCCCCAUCUACUUUAUUGUGCUUCCUUCUAGAACCAUUUUCCUUCUCUCUGAAGAUCUCGAUUUGUUAUUUUAUUUGCAUACUGCUGACUUUUCUGAGUUUUUGUGUAUCUGGAAACAUUUUUAUGAAUGAAUUUUCUGAGUUUUUAUUAUGCUUUCAUUUUGAAGGAUAUUAUCUUUGGGUAUAAAAUUCUGGUGGGGGCAGUUAUUUACUAGUUUGUUUGAAAGUUUAAUGACAUCAUUCUUCUGGCUUCUUAGAAGAUUCCCAUUGUCAGUGUUUUAUUGUUCUCCUAAAUAAAUGUAUGUGUCUUUCUUUUCUUCCGGCCCCUUGUAAACUUUUCUCUUUGUCUUUGAUUUUUGGCAGUUUCUAGUGCAGUGAUAUUCUGAUAUUCUAGGAUAGUGAGGUUUUUUUUGGGGGGGGGUUAUCCUGUUUUUGAAAAAUCGUUUUGAAAAAUUCUCAUUCAGAAUAAAUAUUCUGAGAAUAUGCUCAGAAAGAGUAAAGAUAUUUUAAAAAUAUCUUUAUGAUUACACACACAUUAGGCUACAUGAAAUUGUUUCACAGCUCACUGAUUGUUUUAUCAUUUGUUUGGAUUAUUUUUUAUGAGCUUCAUUUUGGAUAUUUUCUGCUGCUAUAUCUUUAGGUUCACUAAUCUGUUCUUCAGCCACGUCUAAUCAGCUGCUUAUCUCAUCUAACAUAAUAUUUCAUUUUAGACAUUGUAGUUUUCAUCUCCAGAAGUUCGAUAUGGGUCUUUUAAAAUUAUCUUCCAUGUCUCGUGUCACCAUUUGAACAUAUAGAAUACAGUUUUAACAACUGUUUUAAUGUUUUGUCUGCUAAUUCUUACACUUGCAUUUAUUCUGGAUUGGUUCCAAUUAAUUGUUCUCCUUACUUUGGGUCAGGCUUACUGUUCUUUGAGUGCCUGGUAAUCUUUGUUUGAAUAAUAGACAUUGUGAAUUUUAUCCUGUUGGGCACUGGUUAUUUUUGUCUUUCUAUAAUUUAUCUUUGUUCUGGGAUGCAGUUGCUUGGAAAUAAUUUGUUCCUUUCACAUGUGAUUUUUAUGAUUCAUUAGGCAGGUCAUGACCAUGCUCUAUCUCAGGUUAAUUAUUCCCCACUGCAGAGGCACAACAUUCCUGAGUAUUCUAGCCAAAUGUCUUAUGAAUUAUGAGUUUUUCUAGUCUGCCUGUUGGGAACAAUCACUAUGCUCAGCUUCGCGUGAAUAGCAGGCAUUUGGGUGUCUUUUGAGUGUCUCUCCCCUACUUAAAUAUGGUAGUUUCCCACAUGCAUGUGUUGAUCUAUACACCGCUGUCUGUUCAUGGCGGACCUUUUCAGGUCUCCAGAGUUCUCUCUGUGUGCAGCCCUCUCCUUUCUAGCAUGCUAUUCGAUGAGUGCAGGCCAUCAUGACUUCCCAAAGCAUCAGGUCCAUCUCCUUGAUUCUGCCUGGGUUGUCCCUCCCUGCACUGCAGUCUGGAAGAUCUCCCAAGACACUAAACUAAGGCAUUCACAUCUUUCUUGUCUCUUAGGGUUCACUGUCCUUUGUUGCCUGAUGAGCAGUCUUGAUAACUGUUCUGUACAGUUUGUAUAUUUUGUUAUUUCAGGAAGCAAGUAAACUCAGGCCCCUUUACUCCACCUUGGGCAGAAGCAGAAAUUAGUGUGUUGUAUUUUAAUGCUUUAUUUGCCUGUGGAACUUUUUUAUGGUGCAUACUUUGGGAAAUUCUAGGUUAAAACAUUCAAGCCACAGGAACAACAGAAUCUGACAGACCCUAGACAUUCAAAUUCUUUUUUGAACUAAGAAAUGAAAUUUACAUUUUAAAAUUUAAAUUUCACUGAGAGAUAAAACUUGUUAAGUCAUUAACACGUAUCAGCAUUGAUGAGUUCAUCUGAAGAUUGGUUUUCCAUUUAUUUCCUUGUCUAACAGAUAGCUAAAAAAUGGUAGAAGUGAAACUAUAGAGUCAGAAAAUUAGGUUAUGAGGAAAGAAUAAAGAUAACGCCCAAAGCUUGAUAGUGUCAAAGAAGCAUUGUUUUUAGAGCUUUUAUAGGUGAGGCAGAUCUUUUUGAUGUUAAAUGAUUUGCCUAAGGUCAUACAGCUUGGACUGGAAGAGCUGGGAUUAGAACCCAAUUCUAAAUUAGACAACACACUUGGAUGUGGCCUUUGUACAGGAAAUGAUCAACAGAUGCUAGUUUUUCUUUUCUUCUAAAUCUAAUGCUGGAGCAGGGGUACUGAAUGAAAAAGUGGGGUCUUGUGAUAUUCUUUGAGAGGUCUACAGUAAGAAGUGUGGCUACUCUAACUUAUCAGAGACAUUGGUACAAUCAGGCCAGGGGCAGUAGGAUAAAAAGAAGGAACCAUAUUGGCCACUAGAGGACAAUAAUCCUAGAAUAGGAUGGAAACAAGUGACAUAUAUGGCACAUUUUUUAAAAAGUCACUGCCAACUACUGGGAAUACCUCCAGAUACACCUUCUUUCCUUCCUCUUGGAAUCCCCUCAUACACUGGCUCCCCAGCACCCAUGAGUCCAUUAACUGCCUGUUCAUUUCAGCUGCUCUGGAUUUAAUAGACCAGCUUUGGUCUGGAGAUUCAGUUCUGACCCACCGACUCCUUAAGUCUCUGAUUUAGGCAUCUGUCCAAAGUCCCUAAUGCCUCAACUCAGAAAAAAAUGUAUCCGUCCUUCGGCUCAGCUCCUAGAACACUGCUGGCUCAGACUCUAAAGGGGUGAAAGUGCCAGACCCAUGCUGUCCAAAACUUGCUUUCAAGCCAGCAUGAAGUCUGAAUGAGAAAUUAGCUGUGUCCUGAAUCCUGCUGUAGGUGCAACACAAUCCCAAAGGAGAGAAGGUUCUUUCCCUUUGCCCACAUCCCACCUUUGAGAGAGUGAGGCUCCCAUUCUGCAGGUGGAGGAUCUUUUGCUCCAGGGGAAAAUUAACAGACUUUUAUUUAGAGACUGUGGUCCUAAAGCCACAGAACUGGAUCAUCCAGGAGGCCAUGGACCCCUUAGUAGAGAGACAGAGACAGACAGACAGACAGACUCUGAAACUGAAUAGUUGAAAGGGUAUAAAAGACAUUGUUCCCUUCUGCUUGGGAAGGCAGCUAGUCCUCUGGUGGGGGUGGCCUGUGGAUUUUAGGGAACUGUAUUUUUGGAGCGCAGGCCCAUGUGAGGGUCCACCAGUAUUGAGUCCGGCUUAGGCCAUCACUCUGUGUCUGCCCAGUGUACACACAGGUGCCCAACAGGUGAUAGAGGAUCGGUGUUGGCUGGCACACCAAGGAGCACAAGGAGUGAACUGAUAAGGGAUGGUCAGAGUGCUAGGCUAAGAUGAUGUCUCUGUCCCAUUUUCCUGGGGUCACAUAAGUCUCUCAAUUCAUAACAGUAAUCAUCAAAGUUAUGAUCAAAGCAACAGCAUCUGAACACUUGAUAUGAAACAGGUAUUGCUAUAAGCACUUAUGCAUAUGGUUUCAAUUAGUCUUGCACAACCACCUUGCAUAAACAAGAGAGCUACUAACAGCCCCAUUAUACUAAUGAGGAGACUGAGGCACAGAAUGGUUGGUUAGUAAUUGGUCAAGUUCAUGCAGUGACUGAGUGGUAGUCUGAGCCAAGCAGGCCAAUAUUGGUCAAUCUUGGACUUCCCUCCAGUUGCAUGGCGGGAGCUUGGAGCUACGGGUAAUCUGACUUUAAAAAAACAGAGAACUGCUAUGUUUCUCAUUCCCAGAUAUUAGACUGAAGUUUUUAUCUUCUGCACCAGCCAGCCCUGAUAAGAGGGUGCACCUUUAUUUGUAGAAAUGGUGUGAGUUUGAGCAUAGCUAUCAGACUCUGAAAGGUAUAUGGAAGAAAAUCUCCAAAUUCCCCUUCCCUGAAAACUAUGAAGAAAGGAGGAGGCAGCUCUCUCUUAAGGGCAGAAGAAAUGUUUUCAUGACCCUGCAGGGUCAUGAAAAGAAUUCCAUGGGGAAAAAAAUAAAACCCCAAAACAACAACAAAGACAACAUCAAAAACUCCUGAAUUUUGUGGGUUUUUUUUUUUUUUUCAAUUUGAAUUUCUCUUUUUGGAUGGACAGAAAUUCAACUAGUUUGCUAUUCAAUUUAAAAUUUAAGUAAGAACCUUAAUAUAGCUGGCAGAUUUUCAACUGACUAUUAUUUCUGUAAUUUAUACUAUCCAAGGCAAAUUUCCCCAAAUAUUUUGAUCAGCAUUUUUAAGAGGCAGAGAAUCAGGCAGAUGAUAGCUCAAAGUAAAUGCAAUUAGCACUUACAAAGUAAAUGGGAAACUUGGGCUCUUAACCUGGAGAAGCUCAAUCUAAGCGGAGGUACCAGAAAAAUACACAUCUAAGUGCUUAACAGAAUGUCCCAAAACAAAGCAUUGCUGUGCAAAAAUAUGCAGUCAUAGGAAUGAUAGCUAUCAUUGCCAUAAUUUAUGGAGACUCUAUUGCUGUGUGUUGGCACCUAGGUACCUUAUCUAUGCUAUGGUGGUUACACUUCACUUUCAGAUGAGGAAACCAAAACCAGACAUGUUAAAGGACUUGCCCACAACCACAUGGCUACCAAAUGGCUACCAAACGACAGAACCAGUUCUCAAGGCCAAGUCUGUCUGACCCCAUCACCCUUGCUCUUACCACAAUCCUUCUAAAGACACAAGAGCAGUGGAUUCUUAGACAUCAGGUGGAACUGGUAACAUACAGAUCUUUGAUGGAGACAAAUUUAAGAUCAGCUUAGCUGGGAGGACCCUGCAUAUACCAGCAGGGUGAAGGGGCACAUGUGAUAACUUAAAAGUAAAAUGCUGGCGCAUGGCAGGAGAG
This 5620-nucleotide long non-coding RNA is filed under the name Sus scrofa (pig). RNAcentral's name for it is "lncRNA (ENSSSCG00000058946.1)". The record is from RNAcentral. Lineage: Eukaryota; Metazoa; Chordata; Mammalia; Artiodactyla; Suidae.